RNAcentral lists this ribosomal RNA (467 nucleotides) under uncultured bacterium. RNAcentral describes it as "bacterial SSU rRNA". It matches the Rfam family "Bacterial small subunit ribosomal RNA", at positions 28 to 526 of the family's 1533-position model. The record is from RNAcentral.
GAUGAACGCUGGCGGCGUGCUUAACACAUGCAAGUCGAACGAACCUUCGGGUUAGUGGCGGACGGGUGAGUAACGCGUGAGCAACCUACCUUAGUUACUGGGAUAGCCCGAGGAAACUCGGAUUAAUACCGGAUAUUCUUAUUUAAUCACAUGAUUUUUUAAGGAAAGGUCAGCCGAACUAAGAUGGGCUCGCGUUCUAUCAGCUAGUUGGUAGGGUAAUGGCCUACCAAGGCUACGACGGAUAGCUGGUCUGAGAGGACGAUCAGCCACACUGGGACUGAGACACGGCCCAGACUCCUACGGGAGGCUGCAGCAGGGAAUAUUGCGCAAUGAGCGAAAGCUUGACGCAGCGACACCGCGUGUGGGAUGACGGAUCUAGGUUUGUAAACCACUUUCAGGAGGGAAGAAAAUGACGGUACCUCCACAAGAAGCCCCGGCCAACUACGUGCCAGCAGCCGCCGUAAUAC